This 539-nucleotide ribosomal RNA is filed under the name uncultured eubacterium WJGRT-47. Its description in RNAcentral is "bacterial SSU rRNA". It matches the Rfam family "Bacterial small subunit ribosomal RNA", at positions 40 to 575 of the family's 1533-position model. The record is from RNAcentral.
CGGCAUCCCUUACACAUGCAAGUCGAACGGCAACAGGUCUUCGGAUCACCUGACGAGUGGCGAACGGGUGAGUAAUACAUCGGAAUGUGCCCGAUAGUGGGGGAUAACGGAGCGAAAGCCGUGCUAAUACCGCAUAAGACCUGAGGAUGAAAGCAAGGGACCGCAAGGCCUUGCGCUGAUGGAGCGGCCGAUAUCAGAUUAGCUAGUUGGUGGGAUAAAAGCUCACCAAGCCGACGAUCUGUAGUUGGUCUGAGAGGACGACCAGCCACACUGGGACUGAGACCCGGCCCAGACUCCUACGGCAGGCAGCAGUGGGGAACUCUGGACAAUGGGCGCAAGCUGAUCCAGCAAUGCCGCGUGCAGGAUGAAGGCCUUCGGGUUGUAAACUGCUUUUGUCCGGAACGAAAAGAUCUGGUUAAUACCUGCGGUCCAUGACGGUACCUGAAGAAUAACCACCGCCUAACUACGUGCCAGCAGCCGCGGUAAUACGUAGGGUGCCACGCGUUACUCGGAAUUACUGGGCGUAAAGCGUGCGCAGG